CAAGAAAUAGUUUUAAACCUGAGAAUACUAGCUUUGGGAGUUAGUGGCGGGGGUUUGAAUCCCCCUUUUUUGA
Molecule: transfer RNA, 73 nt
Filed under: Pictichromis paccagnellae (royal dottyback)
Lineage: Eukaryota; Metazoa; Chordata; Actinopteri; Pseudochromidae
Description: tRNA-Pro
Rfam family: tRNA
About the family: Transfer RNA (tRNA) molecules are approximately 80 nucleotides in length. Their secondary structure includes four short double-helical elements and three loops (D, anti-codon, and T loops).
Source: RNAcentral